CCUACGGGGGGCAGCAGUGAGGAAUAUUGGUCAAUGGACGAGAGUCUGAACCAGCCAAGUAGCGUGAAGGAUGACUGCCCUAUGGGUUGUAAACUUCUUUUAUAUGGGAAUAAAAUGUUCCACGUGUGGGAUUUUGUAUGUACCAUAUGAAUAAGCAUCGGCUAACUCCGUGCCAGCAGCCGCGGUAAUACGGAGGAUCCGAGCGUUAUCCGGAUUUAUUGGGUUUAAAGGGAGCGUAGGUGGAUUGUUAAGUCAGUUGUGAAAGUUUGCGGCUCAACCGUAAAAUUGCAGUUGAAACUGGCAGUCUUGAGUACAGUAGAGGUGGGCGGAAUUCGUGGUGUAGCGGUGAAAUGCUUAGAUAUCACGAAGAACUCCGAUUGCGAAGGCAGCUCACUGGACUGCAACUGACACUGAGGCUCGAAAGUGUGGGUAUCGAACAGGAUUAGAUACCCCAGUAGUC
RNAcentral lists this ribosomal RNA (460 nucleotides) under uncultured bacterium. Its description in RNAcentral is "partial 16S ribosomal RNA". It matches the Rfam family "Bacterial small subunit ribosomal RNA", at positions 338 to 795 of the family's 1533-position model. The record is from RNAcentral.